UGACGGACUGGUGCACAUGUACGGUUGGAAGCCAAGUCACAUGCUUACAAAAGAGCCUCCAAACUCAAAGGAAUUGACGGGAGCGUUAUCCGGAUUUAUUGGGUUUAAAGGGUGCGUAGGUCGCCGAUUAAGUCAGCGGUGAAAUCCAGUGGCUCAACCAUCGGACUGCCGUUGAAACUGGCCGGCUUGAGUAUGAUUGAGGCAGGCGGAAUGCGUGGUGUAGCGGUGAAAUGCAUAGAUAUCACGCAGAACCCCGAUUGCGAAGGCAGCUUGCCAAGCCAUGACUGACACUGAAGCACGAAAGCGUGGGUAUCAAACAGGAUUAGAUACCCUGGUAGUCCACGCAGUAAACGAUGAUUACUAGGAGUUUGCGAUACAGUGUAAGCUCCACAGCGAAAGCGUUAAGUAAUCCACCUGGGGAGUACGCCGGCAACGGUGAAACUCAAAGGAAUUGACGGA
This 459-nucleotide ribosomal RNA is filed under the name uncultured bacterium. RNAcentral's name for it is "bacterial SSU rRNA". It matches the Rfam family "Bacterial small subunit ribosomal RNA", at positions 1 to 917 of the family's 1533-position model. The record is from RNAcentral.